RNAcentral lists this ribosomal RNA (515 nucleotides) under uncultured bacterium. Its description in RNAcentral is "partial 16S ribosomal RNA". It matches the Rfam family "Bacterial small subunit ribosomal RNA", at positions 28 to 523 of the family's 1533-position model. The record is from RNAcentral.
GAUGAACGCUGGCGGCGUGCCUAAUACAUGCAAGUCGAGCGAAUGGAUUAAGAGCUUGCUCUUAUGAAGUUAGCGGCGGACGGGUGAGUAACACGUGGGUAACCUGCCCAUAAGACUGGGAUAACUCCGGGAAACCGGGGCUAAUACCGGAUAAUAUUUUGAACUGCAUGGUUCAAAAUUGAAAGGCGGCUUCGGCUGUCACUUAUGGAUGGACCCGCGUCGCAUUAGCUAGUUGGUGAGGUAACGGCUCACCAAGGCAACGAUGCGUAGCCGACCUGGGAGGGUGAUCGGCCAUACUGGGACUGAGACACGGCCCAGACUCCUACGGGAGGCAGCAGUAGGGAAUCUUCCGCAAUGGACGAAAGUCUGACGGAGCAACGCCGCGUGGGUGAUGAAGGCUUUCGGGUCGUAAAACUCUGUUGUUAGGGAAGAACAAGUGCUAGUUGAAUAAGCUGGCACCUUGACGGUACCUAACCAGAAAGCCACGGCUAACUACGUGCCAGCCGCCGCAGUAA